CCUACGGGUGGCAGCAGUGAGGAAUAUUGGUCAAUGGGCGAGAGCCUGAACCAGCCAAGUAGCGUGAAGGAUGAAGGAUCUAUGGGUUGUAAACUUCUUUUAUAUGGGAAUAAAGUGAGGAACGUGUUCCUUUUUGUAUGUACCAUAUGAAUAAGCAUCGGCUAACUCCGUGCCAGCAGCCGCGGUAAUACGGAGGAUGCGAGCGUUAUCCGGAUUUAUUGGGUUUAAAGGGAGCGUAGGUGGGUAGUUAAGUCAGCGGUGAAAGUUUGUGGCUCAACCAUAAAAUUGCCGUUGAAACUGGUAGACUUGAGUAUGUUUGAGGUAGGCGGAAUGCGUGGUGUAGCGGUGAAAUGCAUAGAUAUCACGCAGAACUCCGAUUGCGAAGGCAGCUUACUAGACUAUAACUGACACUGAGGCACGAAAGCGUGGGGAUCAAACAGGAUUAGAUACCCCAGUAGUC
Molecule: ribosomal RNA, 460 nt
Filed under: uncultured bacterium
Lineage: Bacteria
Description: partial 16S ribosomal RNA
Rfam family: Bacterial small subunit ribosomal RNA
Source: RNAcentral